AUUUUCAAAGUUUAAUAAAAAAACAUUACGUUGAAAAUGUAAAAAUACUUUUUUUUUGGAAAUU
This is a non-coding RNA of Dermacentor silvarum, 64 nucleotides long. NCBI's taxonomy places the organism in Eukaryota, Metazoa, Arthropoda, Arachnida, Ixodida, Ixodidae. The record is from the annotation of a RefSeq genome assembly.